Long non-coding RNA from Caretta caretta (loggerhead turtle), 1964 nucleotides. RefSeq lists it as uncharacterized. NCBI's taxonomy places the organism in Eukaryota, Metazoa, Chordata, Testudines, Cheloniidae. The record is from RefSeq and is a predicted model, not a curated record.
UAACGACUUCGGAGGCUAGCGGGGCUUAGCCGGGGCAGCGCCCGCAGGUUUGGGGGUGGGCGGGGUUUGGUUUAUUCAGAUUUUAGGGAUCUUUUCAGAGAGGAGUUUCAGGGCCCGCGGAAGCCGUUCGUUUCAUGCCUUUCCUCUGAUCCCAGAAUCCAAGCGGCUUCUCCGGGGAGACAGCACAGAGCCAACCCAGCCAAAGACCCGGGCAGCCUGCGGGCUCCCCCGGCUUUCUCCCUAGCCGCGCUUCCUAUAGAUUGAAGAGUGUUGUUCCACCCGGGCUGCAGCCCUUCCUAGCUCUGUAUGUAGCUAGCAGUAGAAAGCUAGCACAGAUGAUUAACCCAGUCCCCUUCGUGACACGGCGAGGACAUUAAUCCUGUCACCCGGGGCGAUUCCUUAGGAAUCACGCGGCGGUUUCGUUCUGCUUUUCAUCAUUCGACCCGGUUAGAGGAAUCCACUAGACUUCUCGCCAAAGUGCACUGCCAUCGAUCCUGCUCUCGUGGGCCUCUCUGGCCCCAUAAAAUCUUUCGGUGCCGAGGCCUCUCCUAGAUAUCGUUGGCUCUGUCUGUUCCCAGGACGGGACGGCGGCAAAUCGUAGGGGGAUGAGCGACUCUCCCCGAGUAGGAGACCCAGACGAAUUUCUUAGAACCCAGACUUCGGGGGGUACAGAAGAAAAUCUGGGGUUGGUAGUGUGCCCCCCUUUUACCGUUGCAGACAAUCGGCGGAGUUCUUUAGCUCUUUCCCACAUGGGAAUCACAUUUUAAAAAUAAAUCCUACAGAGCAACGUCACUAAACCCCCCCAGGCGUUAAAUCAGCCCCCCAGAUUCAUUUAUUCUUUUAAAUAAACAAACAACAAAACACCGAACAAGGCACGAACGAUAAUCUGAAGAGCUGGCAGAUUCCUGCCCGCCUCGUCCGGCUGCAGAGUGUCAACAUGCGGGGUCCCAUCCUCCCUCUGCCCAGGACACCCGCACGGGGACUGGGACCUGGAAACUGCUGUCCAUGGUGCUGAAAUGCAGGUCCCUGCCUGCCCGUUUCCCGUAGCGCCUGACCCACACAGCAAGGCUGGUUUGCACUUUGCAUGGACAAGGAAGACUACACCCGGAAAGGGGGUCGGCACAAACACAGGGCCUUUGCUGGAAACUAGUCCCCCAAAACUCCCACACCCCACGAAGGUGCAUACCGUGCUGCUAUAGCUCCGGGUGCUGCAUUUUUAGUUGAUACCUUCCUAUUUUCAAACACUGGAGGUGGCAAGUGGAGGGUCCUGAAUUUGUUUUUUGAAGGGAGGGGAUAUUUCUUUUUUACUGUGUACCGUACGGUGCUUAUUAAUUCAUUAAUUAAUUAAUUAUUACUGUCAGAUUUAUUUUUAAAAGGCAAACAGACCUGAAUGGAGAGACUGGUGUUGCCCAGGCCCCGAGAAGCUCCGGAUCGAGAGGUUCACACAUAGAAUAACGUCAGAAAAAUCUCAUUCAUAAUGUACAUCUUUUUAAAUAUGGAAUGAAAUUACAUAGCCGCACUAUGACUAGACACUAUACACUAUGGGUGUGUAUUACACACACGAUAACAUUGACACAGAAGUCUGUGUACACACUAAUGUCUGGGUAUAUGUGCGUGUAGGUAUUUUUAUAACAAUAUUUUUGCUGUGCUCAUUAAACCCACGUAUAAGAGACACACAAAAUAUGGUUAUAAAAGCCUACACGUAUUUUAUAACACCAUUGCUGCGGUGUUUGUUACAGGAGUGUCUAAUUAGUACAUCAACAAUAGUGUUAUACAAUAUGUACACGCACUUUUAUAACACUAUUUUCAUGUGUUUAUUAUAUACAAUUAAUGAUGUCAUAUGUAUAAGAUACAUCUAUAGUAUGUAGUUUUACGUAAACGUAUAACACAAAUAGUGUGAUGAAAGUGGAUACAUGUACCAAACGUGUGUCCUAUCUGCAUAUUAAAGUGUUUCGUGCAUGGUU